AGAUUGAACGCUGGCGGCAGGCCUAACACAUGCAAGUCGAGCGGCAGCACGGGUACUUGUACCUGGUGGCGAGCGGCGGACGGGUGAGUAAUGCCUAGGAAUCUGCCUGAUAGUGGGGGGAUAACGUUCGGAAACGGACGCUAAUACCGCAUACGUCCUACGGGAGAAAGUGGGGGAUCUUCGGACCUCACGCUAUCAGAUGAGCCUAGGUCGGAUUAGCUAGUUGGUAGGGUAAAGCCUACCAAGGCUACGAUCCGUAACUGGUCUGAGAGGAUGAUCAGUCACACUGGAACUGAGACACGGUCCAGACUCCGUACGGGAGCAGCAGGUCGGGAAUAGUUGGACAAGUGGGACGAAAGCCUGACUCCAGCCAUCGCCGUCGUGUGUAGAAGGACGGUCUUCGGAUUAGUAAGCUAGUUAAGUUGGGAGG
RNAcentral lists this ribosomal RNA (430 nucleotides) under uncultured soil bacterium. RNAcentral's name for it is "bacterial SSU rRNA". It matches the Rfam family "Bacterial small subunit ribosomal RNA", at positions 26 to 447 of the family's 1533-position model. The record is from RNAcentral.